Molecule: ribosomal RNA, 253 nt
Filed under: uncultured prokaryote
Description: partial 16S ribosomal RNA
Rfam family: Bacterial small subunit ribosomal RNA
Source: RNAcentral
ACAGAGGGUGCGAGCGUUAAUCGGAAUUACUGGGCGUAAAGCGCGCGUAGACGGUUUUGUAAGUCAGAUGUGAAAUCCCUGGGCUCAACCUGGGAACUGCAUUUGAGACUGCAUGGCUAGAGUAUCGAAGAGGGAAGUGGAAUUUCCGGUGUAGCGGUGAAAUGCGUAGAUAUCGGAAGGAACACCAGUGGCGAAAGCGACUUCCUGGUCGAAUACUGACGUUCAUGUGCGAAAGCGUGGGGAGCAAACAGGA